AUGGCUGCAACUUUUUGAGGGCCCACACUACAGCCAGGCAUUCUUUUUCGAUGACGGCGUAGCUCACUUCCCGUGGUAAUAGUUUCCGAUUUAGAUAUGCAACAGGGUGUUCUCCGCUAUCUGCUCCAACUUGGCUCAGCACUGCUCCCAAUCCAAACAUUGAAGCGUCUGUGUGAACAAGAAAGUGAUUAGUUGGAUCAGGAGUAGCAAGUACAGGUGCGUUAGUUAGAGCCGUCUUGAGUUGGUUAAAUGCCUGAUCACACUCCGGGCCCCAGACAACCUGUUGAGGAAGGUUCUUGCGGGUCAAGUCAGUCAAGGGUUUGGCCAGGGCAAUAUAAUUGGGCACGAAUUUUCUAUAGUACCCUGCAGUGCCCAGGAAGGCUAGCACUUGGGUCUUUGUCCUAGGGGUGGGCCACUUAGCAACGGCUUCAAUCUUUGCUGGUUCGGGUUUUUGUUGCCCGCUCCCCACCCGGUGGCCCAAAUACUGCACCUCUGCCGUAUUUGGGCAUUGCUAGGUUUCAGCAUCAACCCUG
This is a non-coding RNA of Pelobates cultripes (western spadefoot toad), 533 nucleotides long. The record is from the annotation of a GenBank genome assembly. Lineage: Eukaryota; Metazoa; Chordata; Amphibia; Anura; Pelobatidae.